AUUGAACGCUGGCGGCAGGCCUAACACAUGCAAGUCGAGCGGAUGAAGGGAGCUUGCUCCUGGAUUCAGCGGCGGACGGGUGAGUAAUGCCUAGGAAUCUGCCUGGUAGUGGGGGAUAACGUCCGGAAACGGGCGCUAAUACCGCAUACGUCCUGAGGGAGAAAGUGGGGGAUCUUCGGACCUCACGCUAUCAGAUGAGCCUAGGUCGGAUUAGCUAGUUGGUGGGGUAAAGGCCUACCAAGGCGACGAUCCGUAACUGGUCUGAGAGGAUGAUCAGUCACACUGGAACUGAGACACGGUCCAGACUCCUACGGGAGGCAGCAGUGGGGAAUAUUGGACGAUGGGCGAAAGCCUGAUCCAGCCAUGCCGCGUGUGUGAAGAAGGUCUUCGGAUUGUAAAGAACUUUAAGUUGGGAGGAAGGGCAGUAAGUUAAUACCUUGCUGUUUUGACGUUACCAACAGAAUAAGCACCGGGUAACUUCGUG
Molecule: ribosomal RNA, 484 nt
Filed under: uncultured bacterium
Lineage: Bacteria
Description: partial 16S ribosomal RNA
Rfam family: Bacterial small subunit ribosomal RNA
Source: RNAcentral